This 2453-nucleotide long non-coding RNA is filed under the name Mus musculus (house mouse). RNAcentral's name for it is "long non-coding RNA chr1:44572904-44575357". Lineage: Eukaryota; Metazoa; Chordata; Mammalia; Rodentia; Muridae. The record is from RNAcentral.
GUUUAUUUAGAAGGACUCAAAGCAACAGUGUCUGGCAUGAUAGUAAUUUAAAAAAAAAAAAGACGAGCAAAUAAAGAACCCAGAAAUUUAAGAUAUAGUGUUUGUUAAAGCAUGCUUCUUCUAAAAUAAUUGUGCAAAAAUAUAACUGGAGGGGCUUCUAAGGAGGCACAAUUGCCAGACAAGCAAGCACUCGGGCAGGUGUAACCCACUCAUAUAUAAUUGCACUCGGGCAGGUGUAACCCACUCAUAUGUAAUUGCACUCGGGCAGGUGUAACCCACUCAUAUAUAAUUGCUUAACCAGGUGGUUACUUAGUGUAAGUAUUUCACCAAAUCAGUUAUUUUAGAAACAUUAAUGGAAAAAGUCAACCCACACCAUGAUCUACUCGCCAUGCAGAAAGGAAUUAGCUAGUGUACUGUCUUCUCUCAUUUCAUAUGAAUACACGACAGAGUUUUCAUUGCUUGUUUUGUUUUUUGAUUAUUUAAAUUUAUACAUAUGUAUAGGCAUAAGUCUAGCUUAAAAUUGAAAUAGAAGUAAUUCCCUUCUAGUUGAAAGAAAUGCUUUUUUCUUCCUUUCUUCCUUCUGUUCUUUCUUUCUUUUUCUUUCUUUCCUUCCUUCCUUCCUUCCUUCCUUCCUUCCUUCCUUCCUUCCUUCCUUCCUUAUUUCCUCUCUCUCCCUCCCUCCCUCCCUUCCUUCCUUCCUUCCUUCCUUCCUUCCUUCCUUCCUUCCUUCCUUUCUUCAUGCCCCCACCGCUCUCUUUCUUCUCUUCUUUGUUUGUUACCUACUGAGCUUCACUAUAGUUGUUUAUAUACACAUGGGUGAGAGUUUGCUUACAAAAGCAUGGGAGCCAUGUUAAGUGGCUACACCACUGAAUAAACUAUCUGCCUUCUGUCAUCUACCUUUAGCUGCUUAUAAAUUCUCAAUAAAGUAUCAAGCAACCAUUACUAGCCUAUCAAUCUCUAGAGAGGGUGGCAGAGACAAUGAGUUUUCAAAAAAAUACUACUAUAAAUGAAAUACUAUUAACAUAUAACAUAGCCUGGUCUAAUGCUCUUUUAAAACAUAGCUUAAUAUUACUUCAUUUGCAUGCCAUUGUUAGAAUGAUGACAUGACUUACUUUUGUAUGUUUCAAAUUAUUUAAUUACAAUGUAUUUUUCAUGUUCAGGUGUCACCUGUCAAAUAUUUGUGUCCUGAAAAGUACCACUUUUUAAUGAAGGACAAAAAAUGAGGAGUAAAUGGUUUUUUGAUUUAUUUGUUGUAUCAUUUUAAUGAAUAAUAACUCCUUAAAAGGUGGCAGAGAACACUGAUUUUAUUAAUUUAUUUCUAAUAAUAUGAUGACUAUAUGACUUAGCUGCAUAACAUGAUUUUAAAAGAUGUGUCCAUUUAUAAUAUUUUUAAGUGAAUUAAUUGAAAUAUAAAUUAGUACACAGUUGUGCUAAUUAUUAUAUUGUUUGCUAUCUAAUAUUAAUAUCUUUACAAUAUAUGUAAUAUAUUUAUUAAUAUGUUAUUUUAAAGUUUUUGCCUCAUGGCAUACAUACAAUGAAUGGAUGAUGUUAGUUGAAUAAAGGAAUGCUCUUUUAGCUAUAGCACUGCAGUGUUGUAAGGGAAUUGAUUUUAUGAUCACCAUCUUACCAUUUCCAGCUUUAUGUUGUUCAGUAUUUUCAAAUUGGCACCUAAUUCUUAGAAUCUUCUAAAAUUUCACUUGGUUAUUUACUAUAUAUUGCCACUAUAAGUGGGAAAACUUUAUACCUUUUUGGUUUUGUUUAGACAAAAUAACUGUUUCUCUUCUAAUUAUAUUUGUGCCAUAGAAUUAUAUGUUGAUAAAUGAGGAAAAUAAAUCAAAAUCCAUCAAAGUACGAUUAUUCUGGCUCAGAGUUACAAAAGAGCAAGGUAGAAAGAGUUCAACAUCUUUAACUGUUUACUGACUAUUGCUUUGUCUUAUUUAUAACUCAUUCUGAUACCCUCAAGUGGGAAACAUGUAUGGAAACUCUUUCAAUGGUUGUGGCAAUCUUUUACAAACAUCAAGAAAAUUUGCAAAUUCCCAAAAAUGCUCUAAAUGCUCUGAAGGUAUCAUUGAAUAUACAGAAACAUAUCAGAAGGAAAGACUCAAUUUUUAUUGACAAGAUGGCUUAGUGGGUAAGAAUCCUUGUUCUGCAAGCAUAUAGAAAUGACUUCAAAUGACUUUUUAUGUUAGUGACUCCAAACACUCACAUAAAAAGCCGAGAUGGGGUGCAUGUGCCUGUAACCCAAACAUUGGAAGUGGAGAUAGAUAGAUUCCCGGUCCUGAUGGACCAGCCAAUGUACCUGAAAUGAAGAGCUUCCAGUUAAGUUGAAGACCCUAGUCUCAUGGCAGUAAGGCAGAGAGCAAUAGAGAUAAAUACCCAAUGUUCUUUUUUUUCCCCUUCACAUGCAUGCUUAUGGGGUGGCAGUCCUUGCAUGCACCACACACAUGCACAGC